GACGAACGCUGGCGGCGUGCUUAACACAUGCAAGUCGAGCGAUGAAGCACCUUCGGGUGUGAAUUAGCGGCGAACGGGUGAGGAACACGUGAGAAAUCUGCCUUCAACACUGGGAUAACUCCGGGAAACCGGGGCUAAUACCGGAUAUGAAACCUGCGGGCAUCCGCGGGUUUGGAAAGUUUUUCGGUUGAAGAUGAUCUCGCGGCCUAUCAGCUUGUUGGUGAGGUAAUGGCUCACCAAGGCGACGACGGGUAGCCGGCCUGAGAGGGCGACCGGCCACACUGGGACUGAGACACGGCCCAGACUCCUACGGGAGGCAGCAGUGGGGAAUAUUGGGCAAUGGAGGAAACUCUGACCCAGCGACGCCGCGUGCGGGAUGAAGGCCUUCGGUUGUAACCGCUUCUAGCAGGAAGAAGCAAAAGUGACGGUACCUGCAGAAGAAGACACCGGCUAACUAUGUGCCAGCAG
Molecule: ribosomal RNA, 468 nt
Filed under: uncultured bacterium
Lineage: Bacteria
Description: bacterial SSU rRNA
Rfam family: Bacterial small subunit ribosomal RNA
Source: RNAcentral